Molecule: ribosomal RNA, 169 nt
Filed under: Capnobotryella sp. MA 4624
Lineage: Eukaryota; Fungi; Ascomycota; Dothideomycetes; Mycosphaerellales; Teratosphaeriaceae
Description: 5.8S ribosomal RNA
Source: RNAcentral
AUCAUUACAGAGCGAGCGAGGGUUCCGGCCCGAGUUCGACAACCCUUUGAUUUAUCGAGACCUCCUUAUGCCUCGGGGGCGACCCGGCCUUCGGGCUUUGGGUCCCCCCGGCGGUACAACCUUCAAACCCUGCAUCAAUUGUCGUCUGAGCAAAAAGUUAAUUCCAUUA